RNAcentral lists this small nuclear RNA (333 nucleotides) under Nomascus leucogenys (northern white-cheeked gibbon). RNAcentral's name for it is "7SK RNA (ENSNLEG00000022453.2)". It matches the Rfam family "7SK RNA". From Rfam's summary of the family: 7SK was discovered as an abundant small nuclear RNA in the mid-70s but a possible function has only recently been suggested. Two independent studies have found that 7SK RNA binds the CDK9/cyclin T complex (known as elongation factor P-TEFb). Lineage: Eukaryota; Metazoa; Chordata; Mammalia; Primates; Hylobatidae. The record is from Rfam by way of RNAcentral.
GGGAGUGAAGAUGAUCCUACUGGGACACCAGGCACCCCACUGAUGGCCUGGGUUGAUUUUAUUGAUCGAAUCAGCUGACUAGAUGUCUCCCUCCCUCCUCACCUUCCUACAUGUGUCCUUCCUGGGGCUGCAUAGAGAGAAGAGCCUUCCCACAUAGAGCAUUGUUCUUUGACGAGAAGUGUGUGAUGACUUUGUCUGUUAUCUGGGAUUCUAAGAGAAUAUGGUGUUCUGGUUCAUCUUAUUGAAGUAACUAGAAUACUGAACAUGAAUAUUAUAAUUUUUCAAGCAAAAUACAUUAUAUUAAAAUGAAGUAAGUACAGUGUAAUCUUCUUU